AAACCCUCACCGUUGUGGCUUUGAAUGCCGCCUCUGGUGGACUUGGACCGUGCCGUCAGUGGCUCGCCCCAAAAUGCAUUAGCUGGCACCUUUUAGAGAGUGCAGGCGUGGUGUGAUAAUUAUCUGUGCCACGGCCGAUGGCCUCUUCAGUGUGUGCCGCUCAGAGCAGUCCUCUUUGGACAUCAUAUUAAAG
Molecule: unclassified non-coding RNA, 193 nt
Filed under: uncultured Basidiomycota
Lineage: Eukaryota; Fungi; Basidiomycota
Description: sequence contains ITS2
Source: RNAcentral